RNAcentral lists this ribosomal RNA (253 nucleotides) under uncultured bacterium. RNAcentral describes it as "partial 16S ribosomal RNA". It matches the Rfam family "Bacterial small subunit ribosomal RNA", at positions 524 to 776 of the family's 1533-position model. The record is from RNAcentral.
UACGUAGGGUGCGAGCGUUGUCCGGAAUUAUUGGGCGUAAAGAGCUUGUAGGCGGUUUGUCGCGUCUGCUGUGAAAAUCCGGGGCUCAACCCCGGACUUGCAGUGGGUACGGGCAGACUAGAGUGUGGUAGGGGAGACUGGUAUUCCUGGUGUAGCGGUGAAAUGCGCAGAUAUCAGGAGGAACACCGAUGGCGAAGGCAGGUCUCUGGGCCACUACUGACGCUGAGAAGCGAAAGCAUGGGGAGCGAACAGG